CCUACGGGGGGCAGCAGUGGGGAAUAUUGGACAAUGGGGGCAACCCUGAUCCAGCCAUGCCGCGUGUGUGAAGAAGUCCCUCGGGUUGUAAAGCACUUUCAGUGAGGAAGAACGCCUGGUGGUUAAUACCCAUCAGGAAAGACAUCACUCACAGAAGAAGCACCGGCUAACUCCGUGCCAGCAGCCGCGGUAAUACGGAGGGUGCGAGCGUUAAUCGGAAUUACUGGGCGUAAAGCGCGCGUAGGUGGCUUGAUAAGCCGGUUGUGAAAGCCCCGGGCUCAACCUGGGAACGGCAUCCGGAACUGUCAAGCUAGAGUGCAGGAGAGGAAGGUAGAAUUCCCGGUGUAGCGGUGAAAUGCGUAGAGAUCGGGAGGAAUACCAGUGGCGAAGGCGGCCUUCUGGACUGACACUGACACUGAGGUGCGAAAGCGUGGGUAGCAAACAGGAUUAGAUACCCUUGUAGUC
RNAcentral lists this ribosomal RNA (465 nucleotides) under Vreelandella stevensii. RNAcentral's name for it is "partial 16S ribosomal RNA". It matches the Rfam family "Bacterial small subunit ribosomal RNA", at positions 338 to 795 of the family's 1533-position model. Lineage: Bacteria; Pseudomonadati; Pseudomonadota; Gammaproteobacteria; Oceanospirillales; Halomonadaceae. The record is from RNAcentral.